GACGAACCGUGCGAACGUUGUUCGGAAUCACUGGGCUUAAAGGGCGCGUAGGCGGACUGCCAAGUCCGGGGUGAAAUCCUCCGGCUUAACCGGAGAAUUGCCUGGGAUACUGGCGGUCUUGAGGGAGGUAGGGGCACGCGGAACUUCCGGUGGAGCGGUGAAAUGCGUUGAUAUCGGAAGGAACGCCGGUGGCGAAAGCGGCGUGCUGGCCCUCUUCUGACGCUGAGGCGCGGAAAGCCAGGGGAGCGGAACGGG
This 255-nucleotide ribosomal RNA is filed under the name uncultured bacterium. RNAcentral describes it as "partial 16S ribosomal RNA". It matches the Rfam family "Bacterial small subunit ribosomal RNA", at positions 524 to 776 of the family's 1533-position model. The record is from RNAcentral.